UACGUAGGGCGCAAGCGUUAUCCGGAAUUAUUGGGCGUAAAGAGCUCGUAGGCGGUUUGUCGCGUCGAAUGUGAAAACCCGGGGCUCAACCCCGGGCCUGCAUUCGAUACGGGCAGACUAGAGUUCGGUAGGGGAGUCUGGAAUUCCUGGUGUAGCGGUGAAAUGCGCAGAUAUCAGGAGGAACACCGGUGGCGAAGGCGGGUCUCUGGGCCGAAACUGACGCUGAGGAGCGAAAGCUAGGGGAGCAAACGGG
This 253-nucleotide ribosomal RNA is filed under the name uncultured bacterium. Its description in RNAcentral is "partial 16S ribosomal RNA". It matches the Rfam family "Bacterial small subunit ribosomal RNA", at positions 524 to 776 of the family's 1533-position model. The record is from RNAcentral.